Molecule: ribosomal RNA, 483 nt
Filed under: uncultured bacterium
Lineage: Bacteria
Description: partial 16S ribosomal RNA
Rfam family: Bacterial small subunit ribosomal RNA
Source: RNAcentral
AUUGAACGCUGGCGGCAGGCCUAACACAUGCAAGUCGAGCGGAUGAAGGGAGCUUGCUCCUGGAUUCAGCGGCGGACGGGUGAGUAAUGCCUAGGAAUCUGCCUGGUAGUGGGGGAUAACGUCCGGAAACGGGCGCUAAUACCGCAUACGUCCUGAGGGAGAAAGUGGGGGAUCUUCGGACCUCACGCUAUCAGAUGAGCCUAGGUCGGAUUAGCUAGUUGGUGGGGUAAAGGCCUACCAAGGCGACGAUCCGUAACUGGUCUGAGAGGAUGAUCAGUCACACUGGAACUGAGACACGGUCCAGACUCCUACGGGAGGCAGCAGUGGGGAAUAUUGGACAAUGGGCGAAAGCCUGAUCCAGCCAUGCCCGUGUGUGAAGAAGGUCUUCGGAUUGUAAAGCACUUUAAGUUGGGAGGAAGGGCAGUAAGUUAAUACCUUGCUGUUUUGACGUUACCAACAGAAUAAGCACCGGCUAACUUCGUG